UCACCUGACUUGGAGAGUUCAAAGUCCCUAACACAGGGACUCUGGUACCCACAAGCCUGGAUCCUGGCGUGCUCUGCUGCUUUCCUUCAAGCCCUGGCCUCAUCAGACCUCCAAGGCUCCCUAGACAGGGUUAAUUAUUCACGUGGCCUGGGACCCAGGGUUCAUUUGUUUGUUUUUCCCUGACACAGUAGGUCCACGAGGAAGUCAGGAUCCACUGGCAAUGUUUGCAGUGCUGUGUUGAGUGUGGCAACUGGCUGCGUGACGAUAGAGAAGUAAACAGCAUGUCCGGUGGCAGUCGGUUACCACAUAGAAAUUAGGAUGCCCAGUGAAAUGCGAAUGCUAGGUCCCUCUCCCCUCUGGGUGAACCUGGAUGCCAGCACCCUGUUCUGCCCACCCAGCAUGCAGAACAAAAGCACAAUGCACAGAAACACAGCCAGUAUGCGCAGGGCGGCAGGCUGGCUUCUCACUCUCUCCUGCUGAGGUCUCCACCCCCGUGCCCCUUCCCUCCUUCCCUCCCCUCUCCUCUUCUAUUAGAAAAUGUGAGUGUUAGGGUUGAAUUG
RNAcentral lists this long non-coding RNA (560 nucleotides) under Pongo abelii (Sumatran orangutan). RNAcentral describes it as "lincRNA". The record is from RNAcentral. Lineage: Eukaryota; Metazoa; Chordata; Mammalia; Primates; Hominidae.